Antechinus flavipes (yellow-footed antechinus) is the source of this 688-nucleotide long non-coding RNA. RefSeq lists it as uncharacterized. The transcript has 3 exons. Lineage: Eukaryota; Metazoa; Chordata; Mammalia; Dasyuromorphia; Dasyuridae. The record is from RefSeq and is a predicted model, not a curated record.
AGGAAAAGGGAAUUAAAAUGUGACUUCAUCUGAAGAUUCCAAAGGGAACUGGAUCAAAGAUCAUACUUAGAAAGGGGAGAUUGUGUGCAUCUUGGGCCAGCCCACGUUUCCUAUGAAAUUUUUCUAACAACCCCUUAUUCAUCCUAAGGACAUCAAAUUCUACUUCACAUGGACUAUCACUCCACUUCAAGUCAGUUUCUGUGUCGUAUCCUUUCUACAGUACAUUAAGUGGAGGGCUUUCCACGCUACCAUUCCAAAGAGAACAAGAAUGAACCAGGCAGUCAGCAGCAGCUCAAGGUUUUAAGAUUAGCAAAGCAUGUGAACAAAUGUCAUCUCACUGAUUCCUCACAACUAUGGGAGGGAAUAACUUUUUCUAUCUGGAUGGAAAGAGAGCCAAUUGUCCAGGAACAAGAAUUCCACCUAAAGUGGAGUCAGUCACCAGAGAAGAAAAUGAUGAAAGUCCUCCAAAAGUUCUAGCCAUCACUUUCAUGCUUUUGUGAAUGAGUUUAAGCAAGCUGGAUUAUGGUCCCAUUAAGCAACAUGGCCCAUUCAAGGGUCUACUCCAAGCCAAGCUGUUUGGAAUGAAACACAGCACCCGAUCGAAGAGCAGCGACCUCUGACAGGUAAUACGAUAUGAGCAGCUGUCUACAUGAUUUAUAACUCUCAAAUAAAAUAUGCAUGUUCAGUA